RNAcentral lists this ribosomal RNA (253 nucleotides) under uncultured bacterium. Its description in RNAcentral is "partial 16S ribosomal RNA". It matches the Rfam family "Bacterial small subunit ribosomal RNA", at positions 524 to 776 of the family's 1533-position model. The record is from RNAcentral.
UACAGAGGGGGCAAGCGUUGUUCGGAAUUACUGGGCGUAAAGGGCGCGUAGGCGGCCUUCUAAGUCGAACGUGAAAUCCCCGGGCUCAACCCGGGAACUGCGUCCGAUACUGGAAGGCUUGAAUCCGGGAGAGGGAUGCGGAAUUCCGGGUGGAGUGGUGAAAUGCGUAGAGAUCCGGAGGAACACCGAAGGCGAAGGCAGUGUCCUGGGGAGUACCUGACGCUCAGGUGCGAAAGCCAGGGGAGCGAACGGG